Molecule: ribosomal RNA, 679 nt
Filed under: Neodeightonia subglobosa
Lineage: Eukaryota; Fungi; Ascomycota; Dothideomycetes; Botryosphaeriales; Botryosphaeriaceae
Description: eukaryotic LSU rRNA
Rfam family: Eukaryotic large subunit ribosomal RNA
Source: RNAcentral
CUCUAAAUGGGAGGUAAAUUUCUUCUAAAGCUAAAUACCGGCCAGAGACCGAUAGCGCACAAGUAGAGUGAUCGAAAGAUGAAAAGCACUUUGGAAAGAGAGUUAAAAAGUACGUGAAAUUGUUGAAAGGGAAGCGCUUGCAACCAGACUUGUCCGCAGUUGCUCAGCCGGUCUCCUGACCGGCGUACUCUUCUGCGGCCAGGCCAGCAUCAGUUCGGGCGGUCGGAUAAAGGCCUCGGGAAUGUGGCUCCUCUCGGGGAGUGUUAUAGCCCGGGGCGGAAUGCGGCCAGCCUGGACUGAGGAUCUCGCUUCGGCAAGGAUGCUGGCGUAAUGGUUGUAAGCGGCCCGUCUUGAAACACGGACCAAGGAGUCUAACAUCUAUGCGAGUGUUUGGGUGUCAAACCCAUACGCGUAAUGAAAGUGAACGGAGGUGGGAACCCGCAAGGGCGCACCAUCGGCCGAUCCUGAUGUCUUCGGAUGGAUUUGAGCAAGAGCAUAGCUGUUGGGACCCGAAAGAUGGUGAACUAUGCCUGAAUAGGGUGAAGCCAGAGGAAACUCUGGUGGAGGCUCGCAGCGGUUCUGACGUGCAAGAUCGAUCGUCAAAUUUGGGUAUAGGGGCGAAAGACUAAUCGAACCAUUAACAUUGGCGGCCCUUUGUUACGCGCUUGUCUGCUAGGUG